This 775-nucleotide ribosomal RNA is filed under the name uncultured Neocallimastigales. Its description in RNAcentral is "partial large subunit ribosomal RNA". It matches the Rfam family "Eukaryotic large subunit ribosomal RNA", at positions 16 to 649 of the family's 3401-position model. Lineage: Eukaryota; Fungi; Neocallimastigomycota; Neocallimastigomycetes; Neocallimastigales. The record is from RNAcentral.
AUAGAGACUCAGAGCUGCAUUAUCAAUAAGCGGAGGAAAAGAAACUAACAAGGAUUCCCCUAGUAACGGCGAGUGAAGCGGGAAGAGCUCAAAUUUGAAAUCUUAAAGGGUUUCCCUUUACGAAUUGUAGUUUAAAGAAGUGUUUUCUGUUGGAGUUUCGGUAAAAGUUCUUUGGAAUAGGACAUCAUAGAGGGUGAGAAUCCGUAUUUGACCGUUACUUUCCAGCUGUGUGAUACACUUUCAAAGAGUCGGAUUGUUUGGGAAUGCAGUCCAAAACGGGUGGUAAAUUUCAUCUAAAGCUAAAUAUUGGCGAGAGACCGAUAGCGAACAAGUACCGUGAGGGAAAGAUGAAAAGAACUUUGAAAAGAGAGUUAAACAGUACGUGAAAUUGUCAAAAGGGAAGCGUUUGACACCAGUGUUGUUUAGUUGAAAAUCAAUUCAAUAAUUUUUGAUUUUGAGUAGUAUUGACUUCAUCAGCUUGCUGCUUUCUUUUCGGAAAUUAUUGAAUGCACUUUUCAGUUAACAAGUCAACAUCAAUUUCUUUUGUUGUAAAAGGGUAAGAGGAAGGUGGCUUACGCUUCGGCGUAAGUGUUUAUAGCCUUUUACCUCUGCAAUCGGAGAGAUUGAGGACAGCAGCGUAGACUCUUCGGGGUUAGAUACUCUUGUGCUAAGCUAUAGCCUUGCAUAGACAACUUGUUGACUAUGCUCAGUCAUGUAGCUUACCCGCUUGUGCUAUUGUACCUACGCUUAGGAUGUUGAGUAGCGACAUACGCAC